AUAUCUUUUCUCUGUUCAUUCAGUACCAACGUCUGCUGUUAAUAGUGGCUUCUAUUGGACUAGGAUUCAACUCUCUCUUCUGAUUGUCUCGGUACAUGGGUCCUAAUUCUGAGCGUUGCGCUAUGUAUUUUCAUGGAGUUCAACUUUGCUUCUGGUGUCAUCUCUCUUUAACCGUUUUGGAUUUAUUUAUUUGUUUAAGUGUAAUUUCAGUUGACAUUUUAGUCGAUAAUCUCGCUUAAUAAUUGGUAGCCCACCUUUGUUGCUCAACUGUGUUUUGGUUUAUGGAUUGAGAUUUUGUUCGAAAUAUUAUUUUUGGCAAAUAUUUUGUUUUAAUAAUUCAAUUUGAGGUCAAAUUC
This is a long non-coding RNA of Humulus lupulus (European hop), 356 nucleotides long. RefSeq lists it as uncharacterized. Lineage: Eukaryota; Viridiplantae; Streptophyta; Magnoliopsida; Rosales; Cannabaceae. The record is from RefSeq and is a predicted model, not a curated record. The transcript is spliced from 3 exons.